UGAUUUCAGCACGUGCCACGCCAAUAUCUCUUAUUGGGAGGCUCCCGAUUAAAAGACAAAUGCCGAAUAAUUGCUCCGUGACAAAACUGGAACUUGAUUUUGGUCGCUUCUCUGGCAAAAGCUCCCUCAAAGUGUUGCUAUCCUUCUGGCCCUUGAAAAAGAACAAGCCCAUACGUGCAUCAUGGAACAUUGUCCCAGAGAAAUGAAAGUGAUUAUGAGAUUAGAUCGGAUCUCCUGAGCGGUCCAUUAUACCUCGUGGUCCUCAAUGGACACCACCACUCUUGCCCAGCAAGCAAGC
Molecule: long non-coding RNA, 298 nt
Organism: Tigriopus californicus
Lineage: Eukaryota; Metazoa; Arthropoda; Copepoda; Harpacticoida; Harpacticidae
Exons: 3
Source: RefSeq, a predicted model, not a curated record